This 496-nucleotide ribosomal RNA is filed under the name uncultured bacterium. Its description in RNAcentral is "bacterial SSU rRNA". It matches the Rfam family "Bacterial small subunit ribosomal RNA", at positions 26 to 508 of the family's 1533-position model. The record is from RNAcentral.
AAAACAAGGACGAACGCUAGCGACAGGCUUAACACAUGCAAGUCGAGGGGCAGCAUAAAAGUAGCAAUACUUUGGUGGCGACCGGCGCACGGGUGAGUAACGCGUAUGCAACCUACCUAUCAGAGGGGAAUAACCCGGCGAAAGUCGGACUAAUACCGCAUAAAACAGGGGCACCGCAUGGUGAUAUUUGUUAAAGAAAUUCGCUGAUAGAUGGGCAUGCGUUCCAUUAGGUAGUUGGUGAGGUAACGGCUCACCAAGCCGACGAUGGAUAGGGGAACUGAGAGGUUGGUCCCCCACACUGGUACUGAGACACGGACCAGACUCCUACGGGAGGCAGCAGUGAGGAAUAUUGGUCAAUGGGCGAGAGCCUGAACCAGCCAAGUCGCGUGAAGGAAGAAGGAUCUAUGGUUCGUAAACUUCUUUUGCAGGGGAAUAAAGUGCAGGACGUGUCCUGUUUUGUAUGUACCCUGAGAAUAAGGAUCGGCUAACUCCGUGC